AUUGAACGCUGGCGGCAGGCCUAACACAUGCAAGUCGAGCGGAUGAAGGGAGCUUGCUCCUGGAUUCAGCGGCGGACGGGUGAGUAAUGCCUAGGAAUCUGCCUGGUAGUGGGGGAUAACGUCCGGAAACGGGCGCUAAUACCGCGUACGUCCUGAGGGAGAAAGUGGGGGAUCUUCGGACCUCACGCUAUCAGAUGAGCCUAGGUCGGAUUAGCUAGUUGGUGGGGUAAAGGCCUACCAAGGCGACGAUCCGUAACUGGUCUGAGAGGAUGAUCAGUCACACUGGAACUGAGACACGGUCCAGACUCCUACGGGAGGCAGCAGUGGGGAAUAUUGGACAAAGGGCGAAAGCCUGAUCCAGCCACGCCGCGUGUGUGAAGAAGGUCUUCGGAUUGUAAAGCACUUUAAGUUGGGAGGAAGGGCAGUAAGUUAAUACCUUGCUGUUUUGACGUUACCAACAGAAUAAGCACCGGCUAACUUCGUG
This 484-nucleotide ribosomal RNA is filed under the name uncultured bacterium. RNAcentral describes it as "partial 16S ribosomal RNA". It matches the Rfam family "Bacterial small subunit ribosomal RNA", at positions 30 to 507 of the family's 1533-position model. The record is from RNAcentral.